GAAUUCGCCCUUAGAGUUUGUUCCUGGCUCAGGACGAACGCUGGCGGCGCGCCUAACACAUGCAAGUCGAACGAGCGAGAGGAGGUUUACUUUCUCAAGCGAGUGGCGAACGGGUGAGUAACGCGUGAGGAACCUGCCUCAAAGAGGGGGACAACAGUUGGAAACGACUGCUAAUACCGCAUAAGCCCACGACCCGGCAUCGGGUAGAGGGAAAAGGAGCAAUCCGCUUUGAGAUGGCCUCGCGUCCGAUUAGCUAGUUGGUGAGGUAAUGGCCCACCAAGGCGACGAUCGGUAGCCGGACUGAGAGGUUGAACGGCCACAUUGGGACUGAGACACGGCCCAGACUCCUACGGGAGGCAGCAGUGGGGAAUAUUGCACAAUGGGGGAAACCCUGAUGCAGCGACGCCGCGUGGAGGAAGAAGGUCUUCGGAUUGUAAACUCCUGUUGUUGAGGAAGAUAAUGACGGUACUCAACAAGGAAGUGACGGCUAACUACGUGCCAGCAGCCGCGGUAAAACGUAGGUCACAAGCGUUGUCCGGAAUUACUGGGUGUAAAGGGAGCGCAGGCGGGAAGACAAGUUGGAAGUGAAAUCCAUGGGCUCAACCCAUGAACUGCUUUCAAAACUGUUUUUCUUGAGUAGUGCAGAGGUAGGCGGAAUUCCCGGUGUAGCGGUGGAAUGCGUAGAUAUCGGGAGGAACACCAGUGGCGAAGGCGGCCUACUGGGCACCAACUGACGCUGAGGCUCGAAAGUGUAGGUAGCAAACAGAAUUAGAUACCCUGGUAGUCCACACUGUAAACGAUGAUU
RNAcentral lists this ribosomal RNA (805 nucleotides) under uncultured bacterium. Its description in RNAcentral is "bacterial SSU rRNA". It matches the Rfam family "Bacterial small subunit ribosomal RNA", at positions 1 to 814 of the family's 1533-position model. The record is from RNAcentral.